UCGGCCUCCCAAAAUGCUGGGAUUACAGGCGUGAGCCACUGCGCCCGGCCGGUUUUCCUCUUUUUACCUGGAUAACUUUUAUCUAAUAUUUUUUAUCUCAGUUUAAAGAGUAGUUAUUUAAAACAAGAUCUUCUUUGAUGAAUUAUGUAAGUUAGGUUGCUGCUGCCCUUUGCUCUGAGGGGCCUGUCCUUUCACCUCACAGCAUUUGUCACCAUUUGCCAUUGUGUAUUGUCUUAAGUAUUUAUAUAUACCCUUUUUUACUCCCUCCCCCGCUAGCAAAUAAUUCCACAAGGUCAAAGAACACAACCGUGUUGUUCACUAUUGUAUUCCAAGAAUGGGAGCAUUAGCAAAGAGCAAAGUAAGCAAAUGCAGUGUUAUAAGAUCAUCACCAUCAUCAUCACUGUCAUCAUUGCCAUCGCAUCAUCAUGCCUGGAAAGAUUUGGCACAGAUACGCCCUUCAUUUCAGGGUGGCAAAGAAAAUAUGGAACUGAAGACUGCACACUAUAGAAACUGGAAGAGCCACAAGCAAAGCCACCCAGGACACCAGGUGGAGGUCUCCACAAGCAUGCCACCUCCAGCUUGGGAAAUCAGGGAGCGAGUAUCUCUUGGGUGGUAGGAGUAGCUGGAAAACAAACCUCUCAUUGGAAGGUCCCUAAAGAAGCCACCAGCAGCACCUUGGUGGUGGCCCUCCUUCUGCCUUGCUGAACUGACCAUGAUGCCUCAGCCCAGAUGGCCUUUGAUGAGACAGCUAGAGCCUUGGGGUUGACUCCUGUGAGUUUAGCAAGAUUCUGUCUUCUCCAGCCUCUGCCAGCUUUGGGUAUACACGUCAAAUUCAAUUUUCAUAAGCACUUAUGGAGGCUUCCUUGGGUAUUUCCCCAGCUUGGUGCUUGGGACACAGAAAGAUUAGGCCUGGGCACUGGUUUCAACCUCUUGUGCAAGAUAUGAACACAGAUAAAUAUAAUACAGGCAGUGUCAUGUAGACACCAUGGGAAGGGUAUAAACAAAGAUGUGUCUUCCAUGUGCCUGGCACAGGGUCUGGAACACAGUGUACUCUCAAUAAAACUGUAAUAAAGAAUGAAUAAGUGACAUGGUGAGUGCAUGGAUGAAAUGGAGUGAGCAAGCAAAUCCAUUGAACACUGUGAUUCACCACGAGAGUAGCAGAUGCUUCAAGAAUGAAGAGGUGAGCAGUCCCAGCAGUCCUUACACUAUGUUCAGUGUUACAGCAGGGUUGGAUUGAAGCGCUGUGUGCUGUGGAUUCAGUGUACUUGGACAGAGGCAUCAGCUUGCAGGAAAGCUCACAAUGCCCAAUACGUUAGCCCUGAAGAAGUGGCCCUAUGCUUUCUUUGACAUGCCUGUAAAAACAAAAACCACAUGUGUAAGAAAAUGUGUUUAUAGUGCAGUAGGUGAUGGGGGAGAAUACAAGCCAUAUCUCAUGAUGAAGAACUACACAUAAUCUAUGCCCAAUUUAUUCAGUGAUGUUUAGAUGUUUAUGACUAUACAUACUUCAGAACUAUUGAAACACAUUUAUUGUAAAAUAUUAUAAAUUUGAAACUGUAGUCCAGCACUUACAGACUCAAAUGCCUACAGGGAUUAGCAAGUAUUUCAAAUGAAAGGCAUGACUAGGGCAAGACAAUAGGAAGUAGUGAGGCUUGCAGGAAACUGGUGGCAAACUCUAGUUUCUCUAAAGAGAGCAACUACUGCUUCUGCUAGCUGACGCUGAGUAGGGAUGAUAAUUUAUCAGAUCUUAUUUUUCACAAGAGGGAGAAUCUGGAUUUUUUCUGUUAACUUUCUCCAUUUCUAUCAUACCUUGUCAACCCAACAAAACACAUCCAUAGGCCAAAUUUUGCCCGUGGGCUGCCUGUUGGCCACCUUUACCUUACUUAUUGCCCUUUCUACUCUGGCACCGCACCUGAGAAGGCGAGAAUUGGGGAAAUUUGAUGGUGGUUUGGGUAAUGAGAAUGGGGAUGACGCGCCUUAAAAAAAAA
This 1985-nucleotide long non-coding RNA is filed under the name Homo sapiens (human). RNAcentral's name for it is "HSALNT0350290". Lineage: Eukaryota; Metazoa; Chordata; Mammalia; Primates; Hominidae. The record is from RNAcentral.